This 205-nucleotide non-coding RNA is filed under the name Caloramator quimbayensis. RNAcentral describes it as "T-box sequence". It matches the Rfam family "T-box leader". Rfam says of the family: Uncharged tRNA acts as the effector for transcription antitermination of genes in the T-box leader family. Lineage: Bacteria; Bacillati; Bacillota; Clostridia; Eubacteriales; Clostridiaceae. The record is from RNAcentral.
UGAAAAACUAUGACAGGGAAGAGUAAACAUAUUGAUGCCUUACAGAGAGCAGGGUAAAGGUGAAAGCCUGCAGGAUAUAAAUAUGUUGAAAAUCACCCUCGAGUUGCAGGCUGAAUUAAGUAAGCCGUGCCGGCAUUAUUUUUCUGCCGUUAUUAAAAUCAAGUAAAAAAUUGGGUGGUACCGCGACAGACUUCUCGCCCCAGGG